This 253-nucleotide ribosomal RNA is filed under the name uncultured bacterium. RNAcentral's name for it is "partial 16S ribosomal RNA". It matches the Rfam family "Bacterial small subunit ribosomal RNA", at positions 524 to 776 of the family's 1533-position model. The record is from RNAcentral.
UACAGAGGGUGCGAGCGUUAAUCGGAAUUACUGGGCGUAAAGCGCGCGUAGGCGGCUUUGCAAGUCGGGUGUGAAAUCCCCGGGCUCAACCUGGGAAUUGCAUCUGUGACUGCAUAGCUAGAGUACGGUAGAGGGGGAUGGAAUUCCGCGUGUAGCAGUGAAAUGCGUAGAUAUGCGGAGGAACACCGAUGGCGAAGGCAAUCCCCUGGACCUGUACUGACGCUCAUGCACGAAAGCGUGGGGAGCAAACAGG